Molecule: long non-coding RNA, 1995 nt
Organism: Pipistrellus kuhlii (Kuhl's pipistrelle)
Lineage: Eukaryota; Metazoa; Chordata; Mammalia; Chiroptera; Vespertilionidae
Exons: 2
Source: RefSeq, a predicted model, not a curated record
AAAGAGCUUUUCCUCUGAAAAAAUUUCAAUGCCAGUUCCUCUUAACAAAAUAGGCCGAAAACAUGUCCUUGAGGAUGGGAAAGCUAAAACGAUUCCCGGUCCUCGGGGGGCCUCAGGAGGUGUCACUAGGCGUUCAUUGCAUAAACUGAAGAACCUCAGGUGAGCCUUUGAUGUGCUUGAUCCUCUCUUGUGCCUUAGUUUCUCCAAAUGGCAGAGGCAUCUCAUUUUGGUGGGGACUGACAAGUAUGGGGGCUCCAUUGAGGGGCCUCCUGAAGAUAGGGGCACACAUGGGGUGGCCUGAGGCUCACCGUUCGUGUUCAUUCAGAAUCGUCCUGCACCAAGUCAUUUGGUGGAACUAACUGGAGAGAGAAGGUCUUCAGAAAUCAGUUCAUGCUGGGGCCGGGGUGGGGGGAGUACAAGUACAAUAAAUGGAAGGUGACCCUUGCAUGCAGGGUAGAGAGAUGACGGGUGUGCUGUAGCAUCCUCCCCAGUCCCCCGAGCGUGGCUGCUCAGAACACGGACCAUCGGGGCCAGCAGGACUUAGAAGGGCCUGCAGGGCCUGCUGCUCUAAAGCUGCUGAGGGCAAUGUGUGAACGUGGGGGCCUAGGGCAGGACAUGUAGCAGGCAAGGGUGUGGGGCCGGUGAUGGGCAGAGUUUAUAAGAGGAUUCAAGGCUCUAGCAAACCUUUCUACAGGACAGCUCCAUCAAAAGGACACUCUGAAACCCGUUUAAAUGUCACCGCAUGUGAUCCUGCAGCAUACAGGGAGGAUUUCUGGACUUUUCACUGCUAGUGAUUCGGGUUUGCAGCGAGUUAUGUAUUGGUGAUCGGUAACCUAAACCCUCUGGGGGCUGUAGCUGAUACGUUUUAGGACACAAUCUCAUAGAAUUAAAUCUGCAGAGAAUGGUUCAAGGGUGUAGGAGUUAGAAAAUAUUUUUUGCCUAAAACUAAGCAAACUACCGAAGACCUGGAAUGGAAGCAUGUGAAAUAUAAAAUUAGGGUAAUGCUUAUAGAAAUACAUCCCUUUAAAUAUGUACUGUAUGGUUUCAUUAGCUGACUUGAGGAGGGGGCAUCAUGGAAUCUUUUUCCUGGGAAAUUCACGUCUAAUGGGAAAUAUGCUGUUUACCAGGAGUUUGUUUUACACACAACCUUGAAUGAAUGCGUCUGUGGCUUAAAGUCAGGCAGGCCCUUACUGGUUUCCUGCUGGAGGCAGUCAGAUUGGUUUAUUUCUAAAUUCCUCUGGUCUGAGGUUACCUGAUGCUGACCAGACUCCUCUAUCCUUCCUGAAGGCUCUCAGCUGAGUUAAUGCCACCAUCUGUGACCUUGCCCUUUGAGUGAUUGUAUUUCCAUUCCCUCUUCUUUUUAUCAUUCUUUUGAGAUAGUUCUGGUGAUAAACUCGGAGCAAUUCAGCAUACAAAUUGCAUUUGCCUUUUUCACUGCUCCUCUGAUGGAAGUUAAUUUGCUCAUUUUAAUUCUAAAUCUCAUCUUCAUGGCAAGUUGGGCCAGUGGCCUUUGCACUCCAGGUUUGUUUACCAGUUUCGUAACCACAUUUGGCAAAUCUGAGCAAAUAGAAAUGGCUCUUUUCCCCUUAUUCGUUCUCGCUAUUGCUCAUGCUUUCCCAACUUUUCUUUACACUUGGAGACGACUGCAUCUUACAAGAACUGGGCUGGUUGGCAAAAUAGGCUUGCCAAUAGCUCAGUCCCUCCCAUAAUGCUUUGGUUUUGAGAGUUGGGAAACUCUGAGGACUUAAGGGAACCAAACUCAGGAAUCCCACAGUUGGCUGCGCUGUGCCAUAGGGGCUGGGCAUAGGACCAGUCUGUAGCUGAGCGAAGUAGAUGCGUCUGGGUUUGAGUUGUGUCACGUAAUGAAAUGUAAAUCAGCCCUAAAUAAUCCAAACACUUCCUUUUUUUUUUUUUUUUUUUUUAAUAGGAACUUUCUGAAGAAAAGUGGUGUGUAAAACAUUUGAUAUUUAAGACAAUAAAGUUUUUAUCAUAAGA